UUUUCAGCUGCGUAGCUGACUAACGAUAACUACUGACUGGACCGAGUGGAGUGGAGACUGGUUUUACGACUGGAGUCCCGACUGCAGCGGUCAGAGUCUGCUUUUAAAAGAUGUUUCUCAUCAGAAAUCAUCUGAAGCUGAGCAACUGGAACAUCCUCUCUUUGGGCCUCAUCCAGUAUGGUGGCAGUCCAUAUCAUUCUCAACACUCAACUGUGCUCUUACCCAAGUGGCCUCAUCCUGAUGCUUCUUUCAUUACACUGAACAUCAUUGUCUGAACAUCAGCUAUGCGUGCGAGCUGAGUGCCACACUGGAGUUCAUGCAUAGAUAUUAUUUAAAGCCUUGUCACAUUUCUUUGUGUUCUAAAUGCCUGAGUUGAUUUUAGAUGAGUAAACGUAUGUAAACUGUACAUUAUAUUCUACUUAUAAAGGGAAUAUAUAAUGCUUUCCCUUUCAUUUAUUGUGCUAUGUAGCUUUUUGUGCAUGUAAGAUAGAAAGCUGAAAGUAUAUGCCAGAGGGAGAAACUCUCUCCCACAGAAACCACUUUUCACAGCUGCCUGAGGGCUGGAGUUCCCCAGCCCUUUUCCUUUGUUACAAGAUGAUGUAAUCCCAUAACACAAUCCUUAUUGCCCACCUACCAGCGAGCUUGGCAUGCCCUCACACAACACAACGCAUCUGCUGGAGGCCGUGUAUUGGCAGAACCGCUCUGGCGCUUGAUUAGUCAGAACCAAGUGAGCAAGCUGACUAAUCAGAGCGUACUGGGCUCAUCAGGAAGGAGGGGCUUAAAGACACAGGAGCUCUAACAGAGCAUUUCAGACAGAGGAUGCAUUUUCCUCAUAUCUCUGACAAAGAAGACUAACACAAAAAAACAGAGGAAGAAGUGAUGGGCUGUGAAUCUGACAGUUCUCUCACUCAUCAUGGAUUUAAUUCUAAAAGGAGAGAUCGGUAAAAGCAUUAGCAGUGUGAUAUCAGUAAUGUUAGAGUUCAGGCAUUAUGACAUGCACAUCGAGUUAUCUGUGUCCUGUAUCCUGUGUCCACAUAUGUCCACAUAACAUGUCUACAGCUUGGCUCUAUUCCAGCUACCAGCACAUCUGAGUCUGGUAUUAAUUGUUUGACAGCUGAUCAUUAUCUGGCUCAGGUAUGUUAGGAGUGCUGCUGGGGUUCAGAUCUCUGUAUUACUUUGUUGGUCAGUUUUUCUUUUUAGUCCAUAUGAAUUUGUCUUAAAAUUGUUUCCUAUCAUUUAUAAUUGUUCAUAGUACUAUGUUGCUAAUAACUUUAACAUAACUUAUAUACGGAAUAACAGCAGACCUUAAAAUCAGAUUCAUUGGUUUGUGGAACUGUAUAUAUAUUGCAGUAUAUUUCAAAUUUCUACACAAAGUCAGUUAACAUGUUUUUCCUUGUCUGUAGAACAUAUAAAGUGUGAUGAUGCUAUUGUACUAUGCAUAUACACAGUUGUAAAAAGAAACAAUAAUUGUAAUCUAUAUUUUUUGAAAGCUAUGUCUGUGCUUUUUCAUGGGCUAUGCUUUGGAUUGCAGAGUAAAUUAUUUGAAUGUAGAAGUAUUCUGAAUAUUUAACAGAUUAACAAGGAAAUACAGAACUGUAUAAUAGUGAUUUUCCAUACCCCUUUAAAUUACAUUACUGUAAUUUAUGCGUACGUAUUAUUGUUCUUGUUCUCCUCCUUAUUAUUAUUAUUUU
Colossoma macropomum (tambaqui) is the source of this 1691-nucleotide long non-coding RNA. RefSeq lists it as uncharacterized. Lineage: Eukaryota; Metazoa; Chordata; Actinopteri; Characiformes; Serrasalmidae. The record is from RefSeq and is a predicted model, not a curated record. The transcript is spliced from 4 exons.